UAUCACACAGGCUCUAAUGGAAAGACAAAUCAAGAUCAGGUGGAACUUCCCAUUUGCUUUAACAGUGACCUAUAAGGAUAAGACCCACACCAUUACUACGCCAGCGGAUAUACCCGACUUCCAGAGGGACUUGAAUCUGCCACCAUCCGAGGUGGAGGACUGGACCGGCCUGUCAGGUCCCCCACCAAAGCAGACGCAGCAACGACCUAAAUGGCAGAGAACCCUGAGGAAGAGACCCAAAAAGGAACCGAUGCCCAUGCCUCGCCUGGAGACAAAGCAACCUAAGCACCGGCAUGGUCAAACAAGCAUAUCCUUUGUGUUAAUUCUAAACUCUGUGCCUUAAAUUUGCACUAAACUGUGUAUAAGAUUAAGAUGUUAUACUAUCCUAUUGCCAAUGUUAUGUUAUGUUUAUAGAAUGUAGAAUAUGCCGCUACCAGGCCCCUCUGGCCCUAGACACCAGCAGCACGGUUAUAAGUGAGUUAAAAGGGCCCACAGGGACCUGGCCUACAGGGUGAAGACAGGCCUAUAACCUGUCCCCCACUCCCUUACUAGCUAGAGGAGUGGGGGGCAUAGCAUAAAAUUGUCAAUCACCCUAAGGGAACCCCUGCUGGCCCUCGGUCAGGCCACCUUGGUCACCACCCCCAGAGAGGCGCCCCGACACAACUUGUGGAAAUGAGAAAGUUACCCACAAGUGGACCGCAAAACUCACUCCAGAUAUGAAAUCCUCAUAUACUGUACAAAGUUCAAGUUCCCCAGUUUACCCCAUUCACACCACUCCUGCCUACAUAAUCAUGAACUGCGCUACAAUAGAAGGCGCACUCCUAGGGUCCCAAGCUAAAACAAGAGGUCGCGCAUCCCGUUAUCAUGGCCCAAACUAAACUCAUGUCCCUGAAUGUACGGGGACUAAACUCCCCCAUGAAGAGAACGAUGCUAGCACACGAAAUAGACAGGCAGGGAGCUGACUUAGUCUUCCUGCAGGAAACCCAUUACAGGGGAGAGUUUAAACCGAAACUUAGAUCAAAACGUAUUCAAGUGUCCUACUAUAGCAACAAUGUUAAACAGAAAUCUAGGGGUGUGGCGAUUUUGAUUGCAUCCACCGCAGCCUUUACCGAGAUCAGCGUCAAAACUGACCAAGGGGUAGGUUUGUGUUUGUGAUGGGGAUAUACAAUGGAGUUCUUACAACACUGGUGAGUGUUUAUGCUCCAAACUCAGACCAAGUACCCUAUAUACGCUCUUGCCUAGCCAAGUUAGAAGGUUUUGUUGAGGGAGCUGUAAUUGUAGCGGGAGACUGGAACAUGGUGCUAGACCACUCAAUAGACAGUUCAUCUAAGACUACAGACCCUCGACACCGCCAGCGGACACUGUUCUCCAACGUGCUCCACGCCCAUCAAUUAAUGGACAGCUGGCGCAUAUUACGCCCUCAAGAGAGGGACUACUCCUAUUACUCCCGGGUAGCGAACAGCUACUCCAGAAUUGACAUGUUUUUCCUCAGCCAUAGACACCUUCCCCUACUGAGCGAAGCAUCAAUAGGCAACAUCACGUGGUCGGACCAUGCCCCAGUUUUCUUAUGUCGCCCUUCAGAGAGAUCCCAAAUAUACCACACACUGGCAACUGAACGAGACCCUGCUAGAUGACCUGAGACAGACAAUAGGCAACUACUUCACAGACAACGACACAGGAGUGGUAUCCUACCAAUGGGUCUGAGAAGCACACAAGGGACCUGCGAGAGGCACCCUAAUUAAUAGGAUCAAGAAUUAAGAAAGAACGCACACAUAAACUUAACUCCCUUACAACGGCCAUACACCUCGCUGAAUCCCUGCACAAACAGGACCCUACAACCGAGAACUUCCAGAAACUCACGGCC
Pelobates cultripes (western spadefoot toad) is the source of this 1864-nucleotide non-coding RNA. NCBI's taxonomy places the organism in Eukaryota, Metazoa, Chordata, Amphibia, Anura, Pelobatidae. The record is from the annotation of a GenBank genome assembly.